Molecule: ribosomal RNA, 502 nt
Filed under: Amynthas sp. 7 subsp. 2 QZ-2013
Lineage: Eukaryota; Metazoa; Annelida; Clitellata; Crassiclitellata; Megascolecidae
Description: partial 16S ribosomal RNA
Rfam family: Bacterial large subunit ribosomal RNA
Source: RNAcentral
UCAAAAACAUUGUCUCAUGUAUAAUAUAUGAGAUAAUACCUGCCCAGUGACAACUGUUCAACGGCCGCGGUAUCCUAACCGUGCAAAGGUAGCAUAAUCACUUGCCUAUUAAUUGUAGGCUAGAAUGAAGGGGUUAACGAAAUAAAGACUGUCUCAAUUAAUUAACUAAAAAUUAUUUUCUACCUGAAGAAAAGUAGAUAAACUCGAAGGACAAGAAGACCCUAUAGAGCUUAAUUUUACCUAUAGAACUAUACUAUAAAAAUAUUCGGUUGGGGCGACCCAGGGCUAAAUAAUCACCCAUCAUAUAAAAGAUAAAUUAAUCAAACAAAUGACCCUUAAAAGAUCACAAAACCAAGCUACCUUAGGGAUAACAGGCUAAUCCCACUCAAGAGUCCUUAUCAACAGUGGGGUUUGGCACCUCGAUGUUGGCUUAGGGUAUCUAUAUAGCGCAAAAGUUAUAUAAAGAUGGUUUGUUCAACCAAUAAUUCCCUACGUGAUCUGU